Molecule: ribosomal RNA, 466 nt
Filed under: uncultured bacterium
Lineage: Bacteria
Description: partial 16S ribosomal RNA
Rfam family: Bacterial small subunit ribosomal RNA
Source: RNAcentral
GACGAACGCUGGCGGCGUGCUUAACACAUGCAAGUCGAACGGAAAGGCCCUGCUUUUGUGGGGUGCUCGAGUGGCGAACGGGUGAGUAACACGUGAGUAACCUGCCCUUGACUUUGGGAUAACUUCAGGAAACUGGGGCUAAUACCGGAUAGGAGCUCCUGCUGCAUGGUGGGGGUUGGAAAGUUUCGGCGGUUGGGGAUGGACUCGCGGCUUAUCAGCUUGUUGGUGGGGUAGUGGCUUACCAAGGCUUUGACGGGUAGCCGGCCUGAGAGGGUGACCGGCCACAUUGGGACUGAGAUACGGCCCAGACUCCUACGGGAGGCAGCAGUGGGGAAUAUUGCACAAUGGGCGGAAGCCUGAUGCAGCAACGCCGCGUGCGGGAUGACGGCCUUCGGGUUGUAAACCGCUUUCGCCUGUGACGAAGCGUGAGUGACGGCAAUGGGUAAAGAAGCACCGGCUAACUACG